UACGUAGGGUGCGAGCGUUGUCCGGAAUUAUUGGGCGUAAAGAGCUUGCAGGCGGUUUGUCGCGUCUGCUGUGAAAAUCCGGGGCUCAACCCCGGACUUGCAGUGGGUACGGGCAGACUAGAGUGUGGUAGGGGAGACUGGAAUUCCUGGUGUAGCGGUGAAAUGCGCAGAUAUCAGGAGGAACACCGAUGGCGAAGGCAGGUCUCUGGGCCACUACUGACGCUGAGAAGCGAAAGCAUGGGGAGCGAACAGGAUUAGA
RNAcentral lists this ribosomal RNA (259 nucleotides) under uncultured prokaryote. RNAcentral describes it as "partial 16S ribosomal RNA". It matches the Rfam family "Bacterial small subunit ribosomal RNA", at positions 524 to 782 of the family's 1533-position model. The record is from RNAcentral.